AGCUGGCCUGAUGGUGGUGGGUUAACAGAACUUACUAGCAUUACUGUCACUAAAGUUGGUAUACAACGUCCCACUGCUAAAUUUGACUGGCUUUUA
Molecule: Y RNA, 96 nt
Filed under: Microcebus murinus (gray mouse lemur)
Lineage: Eukaryota; Metazoa; Chordata; Mammalia; Primates; Cheirogaleidae
Description: Y RNA (ENSMICG00000041575.1)
Rfam family: Y RNA
About the family: Y RNAs are components of the Ro ribonucleoprotein particle (Ro RNP), in association with Ro60 and La proteins. The Y RNAs and Ro60 and La proteins are well conserved, but the function of the Ro RNP is not known.
Source: Rfam by way of RNAcentral